AACGAACGCUGGCGGCAUGCCUAACACAUGCAAGUCGAACGAGACCUUCGGGUCUAGUGGCGAACGGGUGCGUAACGCGUGGGAACCUGCCUUUAGGUUCGGAAUAACUCAGAGAAAUUUGAGCUAAUACCGGAUGAUGUCUUCGGACCAAAGAUUUAUCGCCCCUAGAUGGGCCCGCGUUGGAUUAGCUAGUUGGUGGGGUAAAGGCCUACCAAGGCGACGAUCCAUAGCUGGUCUGAGAGGAUGAUCAACCACACUGGGACUGAGACACGGCCCAGACUCCUACGGGAGGCAGCAGUGCGUAAUAUUUAACAGUGGUCGAAAGCCUGAUCCAGCAAUGCCGCGUGAGUGAUGAAGGCCUUAGGGUUGUAAAGCUCUUUUACCCGAUAUGAUAAUGACAUUAUCGGGAGAAUAAGCUCCGGCUAACUCCGUG
Molecule: ribosomal RNA, 433 nt
Filed under: uncultured bacterium
Lineage: Bacteria
Description: partial 16S ribosomal RNA
Rfam family: Bacterial small subunit ribosomal RNA
Source: RNAcentral